Molecule: ribosomal RNA, 484 nt
Filed under: uncultured bacterium
Lineage: Bacteria
Description: partial 16S ribosomal RNA
Rfam family: Bacterial small subunit ribosomal RNA
Source: RNAcentral
AUUGAACACUGGCGGCAGGCCUAACACAUGCAAGUCGAGCGGAUGAAGGGAGCUUGCUCCUGGAUUCAGCGGCGGACGGGUGAGUAAUGCCUAGGAAUCUGCCUGGUAGUGGGGGAUAACGUCCGGAAACGGGCGCUAAUACCGCAUACGUCCUGAGGGAGAAAGUGGGGGAUCUUCGGACCUCACGCUAUCAGAUGAGCCUAGGUCGGAUUAGCUAGUUGGUGGGGUAAAGGCCUACCAAGGCGACGAUCCGUAACUGGUCUGAGAGGAUGAUCAGUCACACUGGAACUGAGACACGGUCCAGGCUCCUACGGGAGGCAGCAGUGGGGAAUGUUGGACAAUGGGCGAAAGCCUGAUCCAGCCAUGCCGCGUGUGUGAAGAAGGUCUUCGGAUUGUAAAGCACUUUAAGUUGGGAGGAAGGGCAGUAAGUUAAUACCUUGCUGUUUUGACGUUACCAACAGAAUAAGCACCGGCUAACUUCGUG